Rattus norvegicus (Norway rat) is the source of this 3869-nucleotide non-coding RNA. The record is from RefSeq and is a predicted model, not a curated record. Lineage: Eukaryota; Metazoa; Chordata; Mammalia; Rodentia; Muridae.
CACAUACACAUCUGUCCCUAGCAAAAGUCAUCUCAGAAGAGAUUAGAUUCCCACAUCUGCAGGGUGAUGUCACGCAUCAGCUCCCUGAAAUGAGACUGGGAGACUCAGGCCCCAGCCCUGCUGAGCAGCCACUUGGAUUCCACUGUUGCCGGAGUGGGAUGAAGGGGUUGUGAUCAAAACGGUAAAUUGCAGCAGGUCCAGGGCCCAGCCUGAUGCCUGGAUUAAACCGAUUAAAACAGAAAUGGGAACAGCUCUAAUCGGCCUCCUGAGAGCCAUGAAAUAGGUUUGGGACAUUUGGGACAACCAUGGGGUAGGGGCUGCAGAACCAGGGAUGAGAUGGAAACAAAGGGGGGCCACAGACACAGUGCUGUUGACAUGCCUGGGCCCGCAGCACUUGGGAGGCUGCCAGGGUGAGUCUGGGAUACCCGGAAGCCACAUGCUAGCCUCCUGCCACCUCAGACUCCAUCCCAGAAUUGCCAAGAGCCAAAGACCAACUUCUGAGUCCCAAGCAGGGCCAUGCUUGAGUUUGUCACAGAGCAGCUGCGGCCACUGAGUCUGGAACACACCGACUGUCUUUUAUUCUCUGUACUUUGAUGGCUUCAAGACAAGUUCCCAUCUGUUCCCUAGAGAGUGAAAGCAAGGGGCCACUUCCUGCAACGGCAUCUCUGGAACCGAGCUACAAAAUUUAUCAGAUCAAACUAGCAAAGCCAUCGGACUGUGAGACACUUCGAGCCCUCGGGAUGGUGAGACCUGGCUCUGGAAGCAGCGUGGUGGGCUCCUCAUCAAGAGUCUGGAAGGUUCUUACUCCUGACUCACCUGGUGGCCCUGGCUGUUAUAAGAUUCCCAUUCAGCGGCAGCUGCUCAGGACCCAGAUAUAGCAGCUUUACUCACCUCUGUGCCUAAAAGAAAAAAGGAAAAAAAGAAAAAAAAUGGCAGAAGUAACGGAGGAAGGAAGGAAGGGUUUGACUGUGGCUCACCAUCGAGAAGGCACAGCCCAUCAUGUGACAGGACGUCGUGGUGGAGCUCACGGUGGCCGAGCCUGUAGCUGGGACUCCUCAGACCUCACUAGACCAGGAAACCAAGAGCCAAACCUGAAGCAGGUAAUGUCUGUGAUUCCCCGCAGCCCAGGGACGCACCUCCUCCCACUAAACAUUUCCCAUCCAAACCUCAUCGGGCCCGGGUGCUAGUAUGCAAAAUUUAGGGCUGAUCACUGAAGCACACAGUUAUUGAUACUCGAUUUCUGUCAGGCUUAGGCGGUUUUCAAAGAUAGAGUCUCAUGUAGCCCAGGCUAGAUUCAGACUCACUAUGUAGCUGAGGAUGACCUCGAACUCCUGAUCCUCCUGCCUCCACCUUCCAAGUCCCACACACAGGGUGAAUGGUCGUUUUCAGUUGCCAUGGAAAUGAUGACAUCAUGACAGAUCAUUGGUGGUGGGGGGGGACCACUCAUCCGGCUUCUCAUGAAGUACAGUAGUCAAGCACCUAGGAGAAGGAUCUCACACGUGGUUGUCUCUCAGAUUGAGGUCUCCUCUCUGCUCAUGUGAGUCAAGAGCCUUUUCUGUUCUCUGUCAGCCUUGCAGUCAGCCUGCUGGAGAACGCCAGCAGGAAUGACCUUUAAAAACUUAAUUAUGAGUUUCCUUUUCCGUGAUCUUAUCACGGGGCUACACAUGAAUAUUCAAACUAACUUCUGCUUUAGGCUUCGGAAGAGGCGUGUGAUCCCCUCCUAGCUGGCCUGGGUGUCCUCUUGGCUGUCACAUACCGUCCUGACUGGUUUUGGCCAGCCCAGGCCUGAUUCUUGCCGUGCCCUCUGCCUUUCCUGAGCCUCCUGUCCUUUGGUGAGCAGCUCUUCUCUCUUCAAUAGAUGCAGGCUGCUCACCGUCUUACACACACCCCUGGGUAAUCUGGCUUUCCUUGGCUAAUUAUGAUAGAUUCUGACUCUCGAAGCACUCUGAGGCAGCUCACACCUGUUAUCGCUUGGACUUAGCCCUGGCUACGUCAUCAUAUUCUAAUCCUGUUGCCCGAUGCCUGGGAGUUAUCUUACUCUAUGCUCGGUUCCUCAGAACAGCCGUGCACGCACCCACAAAUCAUUGAGCAAUUUCUACUUAUUUGCCCAUUAGCUUUCCUCCCUGUAAAGUGUGAACCCCUGAAAGACAAGCCAGGCUCCCAGCACUCGGGAGGCAGGUGAUGUUGAAUUCAGGACCACGCUGCUGAGUUACAGGCUGAAUUGAGGCCAUGUCACUAUGUAAAAAAGUGAAAAGCAGACUGGGAUGUAGCUGCGUGUGUGUGUGUGUGUGUGUGUGUGUGUGUGUGUGUGUGUGUGUGUGUGUGUGAAGUAGUGUCCUAGCAUAGAUGCCUUAGUCAGGGAUUCUACUGCUGAGAUACAACACCAAGACCAAAGUGAAGGGGUCUAUUUAGCUUACACAUCCAGCACUGUUCAUCAGUGAAGGAAGUCAGGACAGGAACCUGGAGGCAGGACCUGAUGCAGAGGCCAUGAAGAGAUGCUGCUUACUGGCUUGCUCGCCAUGGCUUGCUCAGCCUGCUUUCUUACAGAACCAGUACCUCCAAUUCAGGAAUGACCCCACACACCAUGGACUGGGCCCUCCCCAAAAGAGUGCCCUACAGCAUCUCUUAUGGAAGCAUUUUCAAAACUGAGGUUCUCUCCUUCCUGAUAACUCUAGCUUAUGGCAAAUUGACAUAAAACUAGAGUCCUGUCUGUUAGCACAGGAUGGCCACAGCUGAUGUCUACUAGGAAGGGAGGUACCACUAAUCCACACAGUCAGGCUUUCUUGGAACUCCUCACGUCACUGGGACUUCCAGGUAAAGCCAGAUCUGCUUUGUGGGUGAAUACAAGAAGAGACUCCCAGAGGAGAGAACGGCAGGAUCCGAACCUGAUUGACCCUUUGCAGAAAAUAUAGAUUUCACUGAGGUCUCCAGGAAGUGGGUCUUGGUCAGCAUCUUUGAGGGACACUGGAGACACUCUGAUGGCUUCUUGGUGUCUCAGAACACCAUCUGUUUGCUUGUUCCCCACUGCCAACCCUGCACCAUCUGCUCCAGGCAGCAAACCAGAGCUGGCCUACGCCCAGGGCCUUCUGCACCUGCCCAGUGCUGGUGGGUCCAGAAUACCCUUCCUGCUUUCUAGAAAAGCGUACUGGGAGUAGAGUGGGGGUAUUAGAACUUUUUCAGACAGCGGUUUCGAGGCCAAAGUAGAAGGGUUGCUGCGAAAGUCGAAUAUUCUCAGGGGUUCGAGCAGAACACUAGAGGAAGCACACUAGGCAAUGUUUCCAAUUUGAAGGGUCAGAGAGGCUGAGGUAUUUGACUGGUCACAGAGCUCCUGAGGAGCAGGAGGAAGACCUGAGACGCUCACUCAGCCGCCAAAGGAGAAAGCAAAGGUGCCCACCUCGCCCGGGGUGGGGCGGAAUGGAAUUGUUCAGAACAAUGCAGUUCUGUGAUGGUCCAGAUCCAAGUGUGUAGAAAGAUUGUCAAAAUAUAGGGUGGUAGAGCCCUGGGGACCUGGGGACCUUGGGACCUGGGGAUCUUGGGACCAGGAACAGUAGAGGACAUUUUUGUGUCGAGAGCACACAGGAGGAAGAGCUCUGAAGAGAGCAUUGAAAAUCCCUAGGCUUCAGCACUGAACUGUGUGGAAGAUGUGGAGGUCAACCUUGUGAAGGGAAACGUGGAAUGCAGGCUGAGCCACCUCAGGCUCCUGCACCCAUCACACCUGCUCCUGAGUAACCUCAUCAGGUGGGGCUCUCAUUGGGUCACAGUGAUGGUGUGGUGAGAUAUGAUUGGCCCAGGGUUUGGGGGCUUGGGAUUGGCUCAAACACUGUGUCUAAGCUCACAUGCUGCUCAAUAAACUCAGUUCUGCACCCCGA